RNAcentral lists this ribosomal RNA (301 nucleotides) under uncultured bacterium. RNAcentral's name for it is "partial 16S ribosomal RNA". It matches the Rfam family "Bacterial small subunit ribosomal RNA", at positions 509 to 807 of the family's 1533-position model. The record is from RNAcentral.
CAGUCGCCGCGGUAAUACGGAGGGGGCUAGCGUUGUUCGGAAUUACUGGGCGUAAAGCGCACGUAGGCGGUUUUGUAAGUCAGAGGUGAAAGCCCGGAGCUCAACUCCGGAACUGCCUUUGAGACUGCAUCACUUGAACGUCGGAGAGGUGAGUGGAAUUCCGAGUGUAGAGGUGAAAUUCGUAGAUAUUCGGAAGAACACCAGUGGCGAAGGCGGCUCACUGGACGACUGUUGACGCUGAGGUGCGAAAGCGUGGGGAGCAAACAGGAUUAGAUACCCCGGUAGUCCCUGUCUCUUAUAC